GCCCGUAUGGCUUAGGGGUAAAGCGUGUCACUCGUACCUCGUAAUGACAAGAUCAGGUGUUCGAAUCACCUUAUGGGCA
Stachybotrys elegans is the source of this 79-nucleotide non-coding RNA. The record is from the annotation of a GenBank genome assembly. Lineage: Eukaryota; Fungi; Ascomycota; Sordariomycetes; Hypocreales; Stachybotryaceae.